RNAcentral lists this ribosomal RNA (497 nucleotides) under uncultured bacterium. Its description in RNAcentral is "partial 16S ribosomal RNA". It matches the Rfam family "Bacterial small subunit ribosomal RNA", at positions 28 to 507 of the family's 1533-position model. The record is from RNAcentral.
GAUGAACGCUGGCGGCGUGCCUAAUACAUGCAAGUCGAGCGAACAGACGAGGAGCUUGCUCCUCUGACGUUAGCGGCGGACGGGUGAGUAACACGUGGAUAACCUACCUAUAAGACUGGGAUAACUUCGGGAAACCGGAGCUAAUACCGGAUAAUAUAUUGAACCGCAUGGUUCAAUAGUGAAAGACGGUUUUGCUGUCACUUAUAGAUGGAUCCGCGCCGCAUUAGCUAGUUGGUAGGGUAACGGCUUACCAAGGCAACGAUGCGUAGCCGACCUGAGAGGGUGAUCGCCCACACUGGAACUGAGACACGGUCCAGACUCCUACGGGAGGCAGCAGUAGGGAAUCUUCCGCAAUGGGCGAAAGCCUGACGGAGCAACGCCGCGUGAGUGAUGAAGGUCUUCGGAUCGUAAAACUCUGUUAUUAGGGAAGAACAAAUGUGUAAGUAACUAUGCACGUCUUGACGGUACCUAAUCAGAAAGCCACGGCUAACUACGUG